UGCAUUUGGGCAUUUGUGUGGGACGGAAGUCGGGGCUCUCUGAAAUCUCUAUCAGUGCUUCUAAAUGGCAUAGGUGUGGGCAUUGGUGAUGGCUCAGUAGAUCUAAACCUGUCGGAAAAUCUGAGCAAUUGGAAAAUGUUUGUGCUCGCUCACCUCCUGACAAAGGAAACAAUAACUAACACAGUGGGAAGCUGCAGCUAUCUUCUGACACAUUAUGUUUCUAGCCCCAAAAUGUCACCUGCAACCCAGAGAAGGGAGAUGAAUGAAAUCCAGCAGUGGCCCUGAAACACACCAAAGGAGAAAAAAAAAAAUCCAGCUGCAAAAUCGACUGAGAUUUCUUUAAAGCCCAACACGCUGUUGAGGGCGGACUUUCACCGAGUCUGGGCUUGUAUUCUCUUGUAAGGUCAAGGGUCUUCUAAUUGACCAGGCAGGGGAACUUAAGUCUCUAAUUUGAGGUGUAACUGCAGCAUGUGUCUUCUUUGCCAAAAAUCCGGAGAGAGAAAAGCUAGGUAAAUCUUAGGAUGGUUUUCACAUGAAAAUGCAAGGAUUCCGAGGGUAUAAUGUUUUAAACAGAGGAGACCCAGGAAUUCACCUUGUCCUCUGGAGUCAACUCUACAAAUUUUACACGGAGUGCCGUGUGGUACUAGCAGGAGGAUUCCUUAGAGCUUAUAUAGGUUGAAGGCCAGUGAUGAGGGUGAUGAGGAGAGAUGAUUUAUUAACUCCACAGUGAUAUCCUUCUUAGAAUUUUUCCAAAUAGCUAGUUUUGGAAACCACGUGACCUUUCUGAAACAUAAAUAUUACUUAAUUAACCAAAUUAGAAACAUAUGUUUAUUAAAUCUAAGGUGGGGCUGAUGGAGGGGGGGGAGGGUAGUUGAAAGGAGAUCAUCAGGGAUGGGUGAGGAGCAUGAGGGGUGAUAGGAAGCAAACAUGGUGAAAACACAUUUUAUGUGUGGAUUAAAAUUCUGCAGAGACUGGUGAGCAUAUGCUUUAAAAAUCUUAGAUUAUUUGAGCCAAUGACAUACUGUGGGACUCUUUAGAAUGAAGUUACUAGCAAUCAGGAAAUAAAAAACAUAAUUGAGUUUAAUGUAUCUGCCAGACCAUAGAAUGUCCCAUUUCUUCUAGUUUCCCAUAUUCCUGCUUGGUUUUGUUUUGUACUGGCAGAUAUUGAAAAUGGUGAUAUCUUCUGAACAAAUACUGAACAAAAGUAACUUAAAAUUUGUUUCUUUGAGUCUAGGCCUUAUGCCACCCAACUGGACCCAACUCCUUAUAAAAUUGAUCCUCCUGCCCCCACCUUCCAGGGCAGAGAAGCACCCUAUGCACAACCGAUGCCAUAUAGAAUGCCAAGUUAUAUUCACAUUUCUUAUUUUUCUACAUUGAAUUAACACAAACGAAGUUUCAUACCUGAUUUCCCAUUCCAGAAAGAGGAUGCUACUGCAUUGGGUUAUUGCUUAAUCACUUAUUAUCAUCUUCUCAAUAAUAUUCACAACAAACUCACAGUCAACUAAGAUCACCUUUUAAGGUUGUAAAGAUGAUUUACAAUCAGUUGGAGAGGUAUAAUAUGAAGGUUCAAAGGCCAGAGGCUAGCAGGAGAGACAUGAAGAGGUUUUGUCCUACCUGGUAAGGUCAUCUAUUAUAUUCAUUUGAACAGGGAACAUUCCAUUUUAAAAUUAAAUAAAAUAUGAGAUAGGAAGUGAUAUAGGCACCUUGGUUUCAUUUCCUGUUGUUGAGAUUUAAAAAAAAAAUGACAAAAGCUACUUCUAGGAAAAAGGGCUUAUUUGGCUCACAGUUGCAGGUUAUGCUAUGCCCAUCAUCAUGAGGGAAUCAAGGAGGGAUUCAAGCUAGCAGCAGGCAGCAUGUUACAUCCAUAAUCAAGAGCAUAGAGCAGUGGAUUGAUGUGCACAUGCCAGUAGAGCCCAGCACACGUUUUCUACUCUUAUACAGUCCACAAUUCGAUAGAAAAUGGUGCCACCCAGAGUGUGUGUAUCUUCUCACCACAGUUAGCUUGGUCAAGACAAUUCCAUACAACAUGCCCCAAGUCAGCCUGCUUUAGAUAGUCCGCCAUUGAGACUCCCAUCCUUGGCAAGGGGGUUUACGAACUUUUCAUAUUUGGAAUUGCUGCAUUAUUCUCUCUCUCUCUUUUAAACACUUAGGUAUAAUUUCUCAGAUCUUUUGUCUCUAUAGGUAUAAGAUUUUAUUAAAAGACAGUCAGUCUCAUCCCAGAGUUUGGAUGCUGGUGAAUUAAGUGCACAGACCAGUCUGUGUCAGCCUUUGUUGGUAUGUUAGGGUAAGUAAAUAUGAUUUAGGUGCUAAUAGAAUAAUUUAACAUAUAUCGAGAGUGUGUAAUAUUAAGCUAGAUAAGCAGCUCCAGUUGUAACCCAUCACUGCUGUACGGUUAAUAAUUGGACUAGAAAUGAACUUUCUCUGAUUUUCCACACACUUGGAACUGCCAGAGAUCAAUAACUGUCCCAUGAUUAUUAAUAAAACAACUCUUCUUAAAAGUGAGACGUCCCUGACUUUCCUUUCCCUAGCACUUGAGAUCUCUCUGGCAGGCAACAUGCCAUGAUAUAUCAAGCACUCAGCAGAAAUUCAUAGGAAACAUUACACAUUUACAACCCCCUUCAUUUUGUAAAACUUCAUUUUAGUCAUGUAGACAUUAUGUUAUACUCUGAUAUUUUAGCAGUAGUUGGCACAAUAUAUUACCAGAGAAAUAUGUUAGAAAGGGAAAAGGAACAAGGCUUUGGAUGAUUAAGUUAUAUUAACAGCUUUCUCUAGCUUUAUUUAAAAAUUGAUACAAUAAAUGUCACUUUAAAUAUUUUAUAAUAUAUUUAAUCUGGAGGAGCAGUGGUUUUACAAUUUAUUAUCGAACAUAGUAUUUCUUAACAAAGUUUCUUGUAGAAAAUUUAUUGGUGUGUAGAAUAAAGAAAAAUAAAUGUUUGUGUUCCUCUUUUUUGCUACAUGUAAAAUUUUUUGAUACAUUAAAAUAAAUAAAUGUGAUUUGGAUGACAGUAGACUAAUAUUACACAUAUUGGGAAUAUGUAAAUUAUUUGGUAUUUCUGAUUUUAGUUUUUGACCUAACAUGUAUUAAUCAAAUUAGCAACUGAUUUUGUGAGGUCCUAGUUCAUAGGGGAUUUAACCCUUUCUCUUGGGAUAUUGACUGCUUCCAGAUUAUGCAAUAAGACAAACUGAUUAAUUGGAUCUAUCCAUUCACCCAUCAAUUAAUCUAUGAUCUACUCUUUCAUCUAUAUUGGUUACAUUUUUGUCAACUUGACAGAAGCUAGAGUCAUCUAUGAAUUGGGAAUGAGAGUUGAAGAACUGCACCCACCAGAUUGGUCUGAAAACAAGUCUACAGAGCAUUUUCAUGAUUGGUGACUGAUGUGUGGCAUGGUGGGCAGGGCCACCCACAGCAGUGAAGUGACCAUGUAGAUCAGAAUGACAAAAUGUCAUUCCCAUGAAGAGAUGUAGCAUGAGAGUGCCAUGGAACACCAGGUACCGAAGCCAAGGAGCUUUCUAGAAGCCUGCCAGUGAUAGCAGUGAUGGAACCAUUAUACAAACACUGCUCUGACUGAGAAAUUGUUAGUAAAAUGCUCUGAGCUCUGACUCAGUGAGGAGGACAGCCUGAAUCUUCUCAUGGAACAGGUGGAUUUAUAUUGGAGGGGGACACUGAGUAGGUUUGGGGGAAGGGAAGUAUAGAGCAUAUCAUUUAUAGCCUGGAAGCAGUUUCAAUGACCAGGAACUAAUUUUGCUCUUUCUGUCAACUGCUCUGUCCUGAAUGUGUAUCGAGCUUGAUGUUGGUCUCUAUAUUAAGAGUUCUGAGUUAUGAAGAU
Molecule: long non-coding RNA, 3824 nt
Filed under: Mus pahari (shrew mouse)
Lineage: Eukaryota; Metazoa; Chordata; Mammalia; Rodentia; Muridae
Description: lncRNA (MGP_PahariEiJ_G0005858.1)
Source: RNAcentral